Molecule: ribosomal RNA, 464 nt
Filed under: Vreelandella stevensii
Lineage: Bacteria; Pseudomonadati; Pseudomonadota; Gammaproteobacteria; Oceanospirillales; Halomonadaceae
Description: partial 16S ribosomal RNA
Rfam family: Bacterial small subunit ribosomal RNA
Source: RNAcentral
CCUACGGGAGGCUGCAGUGGGGAAUAUUGGACAAUGGGCGAAAGCCUGAUCCAGCCAUGCCGCGUGUGUGAAGAAGGCCUUCGGGUUGUAAAGCACUUUCAGUGGGGAAGAAAGCCUUGGGGCUAAUACCCUCGAGGAAGGACAUCACCCACAGAAGAAGCACCGGCUAACUCCGUGCCAGCAGCCGCGGUAAUACGGAGGGUGGAGCGUUAAUCGGAAUUACUGGGCGUAAAGCGCGCGUAGGCGGUCUGAUAAGCCGGUUGUGAAAGCCCCGGGCUCAACCUGGGAACGGCAUCCGGAACUGUCAGGCUAGAGUGCAGGAGAGGAAGGUAGAAUUCCCGGUGUAGCGGUGAAAUGCGUAGAGAUCGGGAGGAAUACCAGUGGCGAAGGCGGCCUUCUGGACUGACACUGACGCUGAGGUGCGAAAGCGUGGGUAGCAAACAGGAUUAGAUACCCCGGUAGUC